Molecule: transfer RNA, 71 nt
Filed under: Anomala sp. BM677876
Lineage: Eukaryota; Metazoa; Arthropoda; Insecta; Coleoptera; Scarabaeidae
Description: tRNA-Leu
Source: RNAcentral
UUGCUUUGGCAGAUUAGUGCUUUAAAUUUAGAAUUUAAAUAUGUGUGUGUUAAUCACACAAGUAAUACAUU